This 806-nucleotide long non-coding RNA is filed under the name Salvator merianae (Argentine black and white tegu). RNAcentral describes it as "lncRNA (ENSSMRG00000011336.1)". Lineage: Eukaryota; Metazoa; Chordata; Lepidosauria; Squamata; Teiidae. The record is from RNAcentral.
AAAAAACAAAACAAAAAGGGGGGGAAAGAAAAAGACAGCGCCGAAGGAAACUUUGUUACAACAUGGAGUUCCCUCUUUGCGAUUUUCUGAUACAAACAUGGAGCCUAGGCGCCGUUUCAAGUUACCCCUUAAAAGGGCGAUGGUUGCAGGCUGCCCGGGAGAGCUACGGACGGCGCCAAUGUCUGUCGCCACUGCCAUCCUAAAGAGAAGGCAGGCUGCCGCUACAGUAUAUGCACCGCUCCGGAUUAAGCGCCAGAGGAAAGAAAUGGAAAGCGAUGCGACGCCGCCUCCUCCAAGAGACUCAAGUCGAGGUCCAAGUAACGGGCCUGGAUAAAAACUGGAUGUUCCUAUACUGACUUUCGAUCUUCUGCAAAGGUGAACGUCAAGAGACUCAACAUGUUACUCUGCAGUAAUUAUGCAAGGAGCAAUGAUGUCUGGGUGGCAUUUAGUAAUAUAGCCGGAUAAUCCUAUUUGGAAUUCUUGCAUUUUGCAUCUCUUUCUGUCUCUCCACCCGACCGAGAUUGAAGGCAUCCACCUUCAACAACGCUGUUUACGAUCUCAUGGGAUGUCACUCAGCAAAGUGCAAUAGGCAGCAUGUUAGGUCAGAAUCCAAUAAGUCCAGGGCUCAAAUCCCAAAGUUGCCAGGGGUUGACUUUACAUCAAUCACUGGCUCUCAGGCUGAUCACCCUUACAGGGCUGAUGUAAGGAGAAAGUUGCAAUGAAGGGAAUAAUGUUUUCUACUCUGCCCUUAGCUCUUAAAGAAAAAAAAGGAAAAUAAUUGGAAAUAAACAAACCCAAGAAUCCCA